GACGAACGCUGGCGGCGUGCCUAAUACAUGCAAGUUGAGCGAUGAAGAUUGGUGCUUGCUCCAAUUUGAAGAGCAGCGAACGGGUGAGUAACGCGUGGGGAAUCUGCCUUUGAGCGGGGGACAACAUUUGGAAACGAAUGCUAAUACCGCAUAACAACUUUAAACAUAAGUUUUAAGUUUGAAAGAUGCAAUUGCAUCACUCAAAGAUGAUCCCGCGUUGUAUUAGCUAGUUGGUGAGGUAAAGGCUCACCAAGGCGAUGAUACAUAGCCGACCUGAGAGGGUGAUCGGCCACAUUGGGACUGAGACACGGCACAAACUCCUACGGGAGGCAGCAGUAGGGAAUCUUCGGCAAUAGACGAAAGUCUGACCGAGCAACGCCGCGUGAGUGAAGAAGGUUUUCGGAUCGUAAAACUCUGUUGGUAGAGAAGAACGUUGGUGAGAGUGGAAAGCUCAUCAAGUGACGGUAACUACCCAGAAAGGGACGGCUAACUACGUG
This 497-nucleotide ribosomal RNA is filed under the name uncultured bacterium. RNAcentral describes it as "partial 16S ribosomal RNA". It matches the Rfam family "Bacterial small subunit ribosomal RNA", at positions 28 to 507 of the family's 1533-position model. The record is from RNAcentral.